Molecule: long non-coding RNA, 32204 nt
Filed under: Homo sapiens (human)
Lineage: Eukaryota; Metazoa; Chordata; Mammalia; Primates; Hominidae
Description: non-protein coding lnc-FAAH2-1:7
Source: RNAcentral
GUCAAACACCCGGCUCUCCUCUCCACCAGGCUCCCACGCCCACCACACAGCCUGUAGCCCCGGCGGAGCUAUGGGCUCUGACUCCGCCUCUUUCCAAAUCCGGAGUAGUUCGUGCCACAGUCGUCCUCGGAACCCUGUGGCCCCUUCCUCACCCGUUUCAGGGCCACUUGGUUCCCACCUCCACCUUCUUAGUCUGCCUGCCCUGCUUUCCAUCUUCUUGGAAUUCGCCUUGCUGCCGCCCCGCGCCCACCCCCGCGCCCACCCCUGCCCCUGCACCGUCCCAUGCCCUUAUGGAUUUAUUCUUUACACGUAAAUAUGUCUUUCCUCUUUUUGAAAGGAUUUGGAGUUGGAACAGAGAAAUUCACUAUGGAUGAUGCUAUAUCUUUAUAUGACCUUUGGAAUAUCUGUAAUCAUCCUGAGGGCAAUACUUAUGUAAUGAAGAUGGAAGAAGAGAGAAUAUGAAUACUCCGUGCACUUUGAUCUUAUCGUUUAGCUGCUGAUCAUACCAUCCCUGGAGUCCUACUUCUGACUCCAAGUUAUGAGAUGGAAUCUUGCUCUGUCAUCCAGGCUGGAGUGCAAUGGUGCGAUCUCAGCUCACUGCAACCUCCACCUCUUGAGUUCAAGCGAUUAUCCUGCCUCAGCCUCCUGAGUAGCUGGGAUUACAGGGGCAUGGAUAAAGCUGGAAGCCAUCAUUCUCAGCAAACUAACACGGGAACAGGACACCAAACACCACAUGUUCUCAUUCGUAAGUGGGAGUAGAACAAUAAGAACACAUGGACACAGAGAGGGGCACAACACACUCUGAAACCUGUCAGGUGGUGGGGGCAAGGGGAAGGAGAGCAUCAGGACAAAUAGCUAAAAACCUAGAUGACAGGUUGUUGGGUACAGCAAACCACCAUGGCACUCAUAUAUAUAUAUAUAUAUAUAUAUAUAUACCUGCACGUUCUGCUCAUGUAUCCCAAAACAUAAAGUAACAACAACAACAAUAACAAAAUGCUUUAUGUAGGGGAGAAGUGUGUACGCGUAUGUGUGUGUGUAGUGUCACUGUUCAAAUGAAAAUCAGAAACGAAAAUCCAUUGGUGGGAUUUUCUGAGCCAUUUUAAAAUAAAUUUACAUUUUUUUUAAAUUUUGUUUUUCUGUAAGUUAUUGGGGUACAGGUGGUUUUUGGUUACAUGAGUAAGUCAUUUAGUGGUGAUUUGUGAAAUCCUGGUGCACCCAUCACCCGAGCAGUAUAUACUGCACCAUAUAUGUUGUCUUUUCUCUCUUUUGCCCCUCUCCCAUGCUUCUCCACAAGUCCCCAAAGCCCACUGUAUCAUUCUUAUGCCUUUGUGUCCUCAUAGCUUAGCUCCCACAUAUCAGUGAGAACAUACAAUGUUUGGUUUUCCAUUCCUGAGUUAUUUCACUUAGAAUUAUAGUCUCCAAUCUCAUCCAGGUCAUUGCAAAUGCUAUUAAUCAUUCCUUUUUAUGGCUUAGUAGUAUUCUAUUAUAUAUAUACGUAUAUGUAUAUAUAUAUAUAUACGUAUAUGUAUAUAUAUAUAUAUACGUAUAUGUAUAUAUAUAUAUACGUAUAUGUAUAUAUAUGUAUAUGUAUAUAUAUGUAUAUAUAUACGUAUAUAUAUAUACGUAUAUAUAUAUACGUAUAUAUAUAUACCAAAGUUUAUCCAUUUGUUGAUUGAUGGGCAUUUGGGUUGGUUGCACGAUUUUGCAAUUGUUAAUUGUGCCGCUAUAAACAUGCGUGUGCAAGUAUCUUUUUCGAAUAAUAACUUCUUUUUUUCUGGGUAGAUACCCAGUUGUGGGAUUGCUGGAUCAAAUGGUAGUUCUACUUUUAGGUCUUUAAGGAAUCUCCACACUGUUUUCCAUAGCAGCUGCACUAGUUUACAUUUCCACUAGCAAUGUAGAAGAAGUGUUCCCUGAUCACCUCAUUUACACCAACAUCUACUGUUUUUUGAUUUUUUUAUUAUGGCCAUUCUUUCAGGAAUAAGGUGGUAUCGCAUUGUGGUUUUGAUUUGCAUUUCCCUGAUCAUUAGUGAUGUUGAACAUUUUUUCAUGUGUUUGUUGGCCAUUUGUAUAUCUUCUUUUAAGAAUUGUCUAUUCAUGUCCUUAGCCCACUUUUUGAUGGGAUUGAUUGUUUUUUUCCUUACUGAUUUGUUUGAGUUCGUUGUAGAGUCUGGAUAUUAGUCCUUUGUCAGAUGUAUAGAUUGUGAAGAUUUUCUCCCACUCUGUGUUGUCUGUUUACUUUGACGACUGUUUUUUUUUUUUUGUCAUUCAAAAGCUAUUUUGUUGAAUUAGGUCCCAGCUAUUUAUCUUUCUUUUUAUUGCAUUUGCUUUUGGGUUUUUGGUCAUAAAAUUAUUGCCUAAGCCAAUGUCUAGAAAGGUUUUUCCAGUGUUAUCUUCUAGAGUUUUUAUAGUUUUAGGUCUUAGGUUUAAGUCUUUAAUCCAUCCUGAGUUGAUUUUUGAAUAAGGUGAGAGAUGAGGAUCCAGUUUCAUUCUGCCACAUGUGGCUAGCCAAUUUUCCCAGAACUAUUUGUUGAAAAGGGUGUCUUUUCCCCACUUUAUGCUUUUAUUUGCUUUGUCGAACAUCAGUUGGCUGUAAGCAUUUUGGUUUAUUUCUGGGUUCUUAUUCUGUUCCAUUGGUCUAUGUGCCUAUUUUUAUACCAGUACCAUGCUGUUUUGGUGACUAUGGCCUUAUAGCAUAGUUUGAAAUCAGGUAGUGUGAUGCCUGCAGAUUUGUUCUUUUUGCUUAGUCUUGCUUUGUCUAUAUGGGCUCUUUUUUGUUUCCAUAUGAAUUUUAGAAUUGUUUUUUCUAAUGCUGUGAAGAAUGAUGGUGGUAUUUUGAUGGAGAUUGCAUUGAAUUUGUAGAUUGCUUUUGGCAGUAUGGUCAUUUUUACAAUAUUGAUUCUACCCAUUUAUGAGCAUGGCAUGUGUUUCCAUUUGUUUGUGUCAUCUAUGAUUUCUUUCAGCAGUGUUUUAUAGUUUUCCUUGAUUUGAUUCUCCACUUGGUCACUGUUGGUGUACAGAAAAGCUACUGAUUUGUGUACAUUAAUCUUGUAUCCAGAAACUUUGCUGAAUUAUUUUAUCAGUUCUAGGAGCUUUCUGGAGGAGUCCUUAGGAUUUUCAAGGUAAAUGAUUAUAUCAUUAGUAAACAGGGACAGUUUGAGUUCCUCUUUACUGAUUUGGAUGCCUUUUAUUUAUUUCUCUUGUCUGAUUGCUCUGGCUAGAUCUUCCAAUACUAUGAUGAAGAGGAGUGGUGAUAUAGUGACAGUCCUUGUCUUGUUUCCAUUCUCAGAGGGAAUGCUUUCAACUUUUCCCCAUUCAGUAUUUUGUUGACUCUGGGUUUGUCAUAGAUGUCUUUUACUACAUUAAGGUAUGUCCCUUGUAUGCCAAUUUUGCUGGGGGUUUUAAUCUAAAGCGAUGCUGGAUUUUGUCAAAUGCUUUUUCUGCAUCUAUUGAGAUGAUCAUGUGAUUUUUGUUUUAAAUUCUGUUUAUAUGGUGUAUCACAUUUAUUGAGUUGCAUAUCUUUAACCACCCCUGCAUCCCUGGUAUGAAACCCACUUGAUUGUGGUGGAUUACCUUUUAGAUAUGUUGUUGGAUUCAGUUAGCUAGUAUUCUGUUAAGGACUUUAGCAUCUAUGUUCAUCAAGGAUAGUGGUCUGUAGUUUUCCUUUUUGGUUAUGUUCUCUCCUGGUUUUGGUAUUAGGGUGAUGCUGGCUUCAGAGAAUGAAUUAGGGAGGGUUCCUUCUCUAUAUAUCUUGUGGAAUAAUGUCCACAGGAUUGGUACCAGUUCUUCCUUGAAUGUAUGGUAGAAUUCUGCUGUGAAUCUGUUUGGUCCUGGACUUUUUUUAUGUUGGUAAUUUUUAAAUUAUCAUUUAAAUCUCGCUGCUUGUUAUUGGUCUCUUCAGGGUAUCUACUUCUUGCUGAUUAAGCUAGGUGUAAGAUUGUCCCCAUGGCCUGAAAGCUUAAGGAGAUAUAUAACUCCUCGCUUCUCAGGCCCAGUCCCAAGGCGCAAGGCCACUUGCGUCAGCAGUGUGUGCGGCAGCAUGCACCAGCAAGAUAGCAGAGGCAGAAAAAUAGCCAGUCAGAAGACACCUACCCCUGAAGAUUGAGAAAGAGGCCAUAUGGGUAAAACAUAGCAGUUACGUCAGACUAGGACACUUCCUGUUUACAGGAGACUGUAAAACAUUUGUCCCAUCCUCACUUGGUGCUAACGCCAUUUUAAGCCUCAGCCCGCCUGCACCCAGGCACUCAUUAAGACAGCAUGUUGCUCCACACUGCCUCGUGUUGUCUGUUGGUGCACUCUCGGGGUUCAAACUGUUACAAGAACCUUAUAUUUUGGUGCUGAAAUCUGGGAGGGGCUCAGGUCUGCAUCCCCCAUGGACCUAGCCCUCCACCCCAAAGAGCAGGCCACAGCAGCUGGACAAAGGAAGGUCCUCAGCCUCCAGUCGCCUCUCUGUGCAUGCAGUCGGUCACUGAUCUCGCCUACUGGCACAGACGUGUUUCCAGACAAUCCAGAUGAUGCUUCUGCUACAGCGACAUGGCCCAGUCCCAAGGCGCAAGGGCCACUUGUGUCAGCAGUGUGCACCAGCAGCGUGCGCCGGCAAGAUAGCAGAAGCAUGAAAAGGGCCGGCCAGAAGACACCUACUCUGGCUGGAAGACACGUACCCCUGAAGAUCAAGAAAGAAGCUAUCUGGGAACAAUGUAGCAGUUACGUCAGACCAGGACACUUCCUGUUUACAGGAGACUAUAAAACCUUUGUCCUAUCAUCACUUGAUGUGGACGCCAUUUUAGGCCUCAGCCCGCCUGCACCCAGGCACUGAUUAAAACAGCAUGUUGCUCCACACUGCCUCGUGUUGUCUGUUGGCAUGCUCUUGGGGUUCAAACUGAUACAAGAACCUUACACUAGGAGGGUUGUGUUUUUCCAGGAAUUUAUUAAUCUCUUCCAGAUUUUCUAGUUUAUGUGUGUAAAGGUGUUCAUAUUAGCCCUGAAUGAUCUUUUGUAUUUCAGUGGUGUUAGUUGAAAUAUCUCCUGUUUCAUUUCUCUGUGAGGUUAUUUGGAUAGUCUCUCUUAUUUUCUUGGUUAAUCUUGCUAAUGGUCUCUCAAUUUUAUUUAUCUUUUCAAUGAAUCAACUUUUUGUUUCAUUUAUCUUUCGUAAAAUUUUUUUUUUCAAUUUCAUGCAGUUCUUCUCUGAUCUUGGUUAUGUUCUUUGUCUGCUGGGUUUGGGUUUGGUUUGUUCUUGUUUCUCUAGUUGCUUGAGGUGUAACCUUAUAUUGUCUGUAUGCACUUUUUCAGACUUUUUGUUGUAGGUGUUUAGGGCUAUGAACUUUCCUCUUAGCGCCUCCUUAGCUGUAUCCGAAAGUUUUUGAUAGGUUGUGUCAUUAUUGUCAUUCAUUUUGAAGAAUUUUAAAAUUUUCAUCUUGAUUUUGUUUUUGGCCCAAUGCUCAUUCAGGAGCAGGUUAUUUAAUUUCCAUGUAUUUGCAUGGUUUUGAAAGUCCUUUUGGAGUUCAUUUCCAGUUUUAUUCCACUUUGGUCUGAGAGAGUAUUUGAUAUAAUUUCAAUUUUCUUAAAUUUGUUGAGGUUCAUUUUAUGGCCUAUCAUAUGGUCUAUCUUGGAGAAGUUCCAUGCACUGUUGAAUAGAAUGUGUAUUCUGCAGUUGUUGGAUGAAAUGCUCUGUAGAUAUCUGUUAAGUCCAUUUGUUCCAAGGUAUAGUUUAAAUCCAUUGUUUCUUUGUUGACUUUCUGUCUUGAUGACCUGUCUAUUGCUGUCAGUGGAGUAUUGAAGUCCCCCACUAUUAUGAUUCUAUCUAUCUCAUUUCUUCAUUCUAUUAGUAAUUGUUUUAUAAAUUUGGGAUCUCUAGUCUUAGGUGAAUAUUUGUUUAAGAUUAUGCGGUUUUCCUGUUGUAUCAGGCCUUUUUACCAUUAUAUAAUGUCCCUCUUUGUGUCUUUUAACCACUGUUGCUUUAAAGUUCAUUUUGUCUGAUAUAAGAAUAUCUACUCCUGCUCAGUUUUGGUGUCCAUUUGCAUGAAAUGCCUUUUUGUACGCCUUUACUUUAAGUUUAUGUGAGUCUUUUUGUGUUAGGUGAGUCUCCUGAAGACAGUAGACGGUUGGUUAAUUCUUAUCCAUUAUGUGGUUCUGCAUCUUUUAAGUGGAGCAUGUAGGGUAUUUACAUUCAAUGUUAGUAUUGAAAUGUGAGGUACUCUUGCAUUCAUCAUGCUCUUUGUUGCCUGUGUACUUUGUUUUUGUUGUUGUUGUUUUAACUCGUGUUUUUGUUUUAUAGGCCCUUUGUAAUUUAUGCUUUAAAGAGAUUCUGUUUUGAUGUGUUUCCAGGAUGUGUUUCAUGAUUUAGAGCUUCUUUUAGAAGUUCUUGUAAUGGUGGCUUUGUAAUGGUGAAUUCUCUCAAUAUUUGUUUGUCUGAAAAUCACAGUAUCUUUCCUUCAUAUAUGAUGCUUCAUUUGGCUGGAUAAAAAAUUCUUGGCUGAUAAUUGUUUUGUUUGAGAAGGCUGAAGAUAGGACCCCAAUCCCUUCUAGGUUGUAGGGUUUCUGCUGAGAAAUCUGCUGUUAAUCUGUUAGGUUUUCCUUUAUAGGUUUCCUGGUGCUUCUGUCUCAAAACUCUUAAGAUUCUUUCCUUCAUCUUAACUUUCGAUAACCUGAUGACAAUGUGCCUAGGUGAAGAUCUUUUUGCAAUAGAUUUCCCAGGUGUUCUUUGUGCUUCUUGUAUUUGCAUGUCUAGGUCUCUAGCAAGGCUGGGAAAGUUUUCCUUGAUUAUUCCCCUAAAUAUGUUUUCCAAGCUUUCAGAGUUGUUUUCUUCCUCAGGAAUACCGAUUAUUCUUAGGUUUGGUUGUUUAACAUAAUCCAAAACUUCUUGGAGGCUUUGUUUAUAUUUUCUUAUUCUUUUUUCUUUGUCUUUGUUGGAUUGGGUUAAUUCAAAGACUUUGUCUUCAAGCUCUGAAUUUCUUUCUUCUACUUGUUCAAUUCUAUUGCUGAGACUUUCCAGAGCAUCACACAUUUCUAAAAGUGUGUCCAAUGUUUCCUGAAUUUUUAAUUUUUUUUUUCUUUAAGCUAUCUAUUUCAUUGGAUAUUUCUCCCUUCACUUUUUGUAUUAUUUUUUGGACUUACUUGCAUUGGGCUUUGCCUUACUUUGAUCUCUCCCUGAUUAGCUUAAUAACUGACCUCCUGCUUUCUUUUUCAGGUAAAUCAGAGAUUUCUUCUUGGUUUGGAUCCAUUGCUGGUGAACUCGGGUCGGGGGGUGUUGAGGAGCCUUGUUUUGUCAUAUUACCAGGGUUGGUUUUCUGCUUCCUUCUCAUUUGGGUAGACUCUGUCAGAGGGAAGGUCUAGGGCUGAAGGCUGUUGUUCAUAUUAUAUUUUCCCACAGGCUGUUCCCUUUAUGUAGUACUCUCCCCCUUUUCGUGUGGAUGUGGCUUCCUGUGAACUGAACUGCAGUGAUUGUUGUCUCUCUUCUGGGUCUAGCCACCCAGUGAGUCUACCUGGCUCUGGGCUGGUACUGGGGGUUAUCUGCACAGAGUCCUGUGAUAUUAACUGUCUAUGGGUCUCUCAGUCAUGGAUACCAGUGCCUGUUCCAGUGGAGGUGACACAAGGGGCAAUGGACUCCAUGGGGGUCCUCAGUUUUGGUGGUAUAAUGGCCUAUUUUUGUGCUGGUUGGCCUCCUACCAGGAGGUGGCACUUUCCAGAAAACAUCAGCUGUAGUAGUGUGGAGAGGGACUGGUGGUGGAUAGGGCCCUACAACUCCCAAGGUUAUAUGUCCUUUGUCUCCUGCCACCAGGGUGGGUAGGGAAGGACCAUUGGGUGGGGGCAGGGCCGUGUCUGAGCUCAGACUUUCCUUAGUUGAGUCUUGCUGUGGCUGCAGUGGUGGAUGGGGGUGAGACUCCCAGGUCACUGGAGUUGUUUACCAAGGCAGAUUAUGGCUGCCUCUGCUGAGUCAUACAGGUUGUCAGGGAAGUGGGGUAAAGCUGGUAGCCACAGACCUUACUCAGCUCUCACUCAAACCGAAGGGCUGGUCUCACUCCCACCAUGCCCUCAGCAACAGCCCUGAACCUGUUUCCAGGUGAAGGGCCAGUCAGGCUUGAAAAUUUUCCCAAGGUUUUCUUCACAUUUGCAAAUGAAAAGGGCUUUAGUUCUUUCCCCACCUGUGAAGUCUGCAAACUGGAUUCGCGCCCUCCCCUGAGUUCUGGCCUUGAGACUUCUCGCCCUGUUCAAAUUGUUAGAAAUUUCAGCUAGAGAAGUUCUUCUCAUUGUGGAGUUUUACCCCCUGCUCCUCUGGCCACCCUCCUGAUGGAUCCCUGUGGUGCCAGGCAGGAAUUGUCUGCUUGGGGAUCCAGCGAGCUCCCAGUGCCUUUCUGCUACUUCCUCUAUCCCUGUGUUUCGCUGGGUUUGGCUCUCUAACUUGACUCGGCUCCAGGUAAAGUUGGGAACUUCUCCCACAAACAGACCUUCAGCUUCUCCAUUGGGGAUGUCUGUUUGGGAGAGGAGGGUCUCCCUUUUCCACUUCCAUGGUUGGGGCACUCACAGUAUUUAGGUUGUCUCCCGUGUCCUGCAGGAGCAGUCUGCUUCCUUUAGAGGGUCUGUGGGUCCUCUCAGGAUUGCUGGUCUGUUAUUGCAGUCGAUCUGGAGCUAAAAUUCACAAUGCAAGCCUCCGUAUGCUGCUCUGUCCGGAGCUGCAAUCUAGUCCUACCUCCCAUCAAAUUUACACAUUUUAAAAUACCAUUUACUUCCUAAUCUGACAGGAUAUCAAACCAGGUUCGUCCAGCUUUCCUGUCUGACACCUCUUUAGUUUCCUUGGUAACAAAACUUUGCUCCAUGAUUCCGGUAACAAAACUCUUUAGUUUCCUUGGUAUCAAAACUCUGCUCCAUGAUUCUGGGGUCUGAUUUUGAAUAAAUGCAACGUCAGAAGCAAGAGUGAGCUGAGUACUUUACAGCUGUGGAACCUAAAGCAAAAAAAACAGACACAGCAUCCCAAUUCUAAUUCUGACUCUGAUUUGGAUUCAGAUCCAUAUUUCCCCCAGACUCUACAGACACAUCACUUCUCCUCCUUUGUUCCCCUUCCAGUUCUGCUAUGGAAGAAGCAACAUCUAAGAUGACGGAAAUUAUUUCAGAGCCCACAGUUACACUGGAAAAUGAGGUAAAAAAAAAAUAGAAUUCUGCUCACUACCUUACAGAAAAACAAGCCAGACAAAAGGGUGGAAUGGUUAAGAGACAGUGUUGACAAUGAGCACUUGGACUAUCGCUCAUCUAAAUGCUGCUGCAUUUAUCAAAAGCCUCAUGCCUUUGGUGAAAGCUCCUCAGAGAGUGAAAAAGAGGAUGAAGAAAAUUGUAAUUUCAUGCUAUAUUUCUGGGGUCAUCACAAUGGACGGCAUCAUUCCCUUCCCAAUAGGGCUUCUAGUACUUUAUCUAAAAAACCUUGAGACACAUCUCAUCCUCUUCCUUCACCCAUGAAGGGCUAAGCUUACUUUGCUUCCCCCAUCCCUGAAUGAGACUGGACUAAAAUAUAUCCACGUUGCUAUUCAGGGAUUAAACAUAUUUUGAAUCUUUUUUGAUGUGUGUUCUAUCUCUCUUCUGUCUGAUGGAAAGGGUAGCAAUGAAGGAAGACAAGGGGAGAGAAACAAAGGGAUCAAUAGAAUACCUGGAAGCCCUGGUACUGCAUGACUACUAUUCUACAAUACACAUGUCACAUGUAUAUUCUUGUCUUUUUUAGAGAUCUGGAAUAACUUCUCCUAUAUUUUCUUGGCUAGUCUAUUAUCAUGACACCAAACCCCCACUUUCCACAGAGCUACCAUUUUCUCUAUACUUGUUACCCAUAAUAGUUUCUAUCAUCUAAUGAGUACCAGAUUAUUCUUUACCAUUAAUUGGAAGCUUUGUAAUCUUGUCACCUGAUAUUUACCCAUUACACUUUAUUCUUGCUUUUAUCCUGGGUGAUUUCAAUAUCCCUGUAGAUAAGAUUUCAUAUAAACUAGGUAUUUCUCCUCUACUUUUAUUUAGGAACCCCACAGCCAUAGUCAUACCAUGAAGCUAAUGAGCACUAGUACUAUUCCACAUCUAAGUUUUAUAAUUAGGGAUCUUAUUUUCUCAUCCCAAACUCCUAUCUUUUGACUUCUGUCUCAUACUCGCUUACAACACUAUUUUGUGAAUUCAUGGAGACUCCUAGUCACCCAAAUUUGUGCUGACCUCUCAAUCAGUCAACCUUCUGGGUAUAACUUCUUUUCCACCCAAACUUCUGACCCAUCAACAGCAUUCUUUCCCGUGUUCUUACUUCUUCACUCUUUUGUGAAACCUCUCUUGCCAAUUCCAAAUUAUGACAUGUGACUCAGGAAAACUAAAAUGAAGUGUUUGUGGACUUGGGGAAAGGUGGUAUCAAAGAAACAUCAGGAAACUAUCAAGAGGUAGAAUAGUAGUUUAAAUUUAUUACAUGUUUUGUGUGUGCCUAGCAUUUUCUUCAAGGCUUUAUGUAUAAUAACCCAGGAAUUCUGGGAAAGUCUCAGUCUUUAUCUCUUCAAAUAUAUUCUGCUUCAUUCUCUUUUUCCUAUUUCUUUGAGACUCCAAUUUAAACCUAUGUUACACUUCCUUCUAUAUUUGUUAAUAUUAUCUUUAUUUUUCUGUCUCUUUUAAACAUCAUUUGGAUCAUUUCUUCUUAUCAGCAUUUAGUUCACCAAUAUAGCUUGAUUUAUAUCUAAAAAGCUAUUAAACCCAUCCACUUAAUUUUGUUUCCUUAUACUCUUCAGUCCUAGAAUUUCAACUUAGUACUUUUUCCCAAUUGUUAGAUCCCUUAUUAUGAGGACCUGAAUAAUUCAAAUUCUCUGUAAGAAACUUUUGGCUUGACUUUGAUUUCCUUGCACAUACUAAGCAUAAUUAUUUUAUAACUUGUGUCUGAUAAUUGUAGUAUUUACAAUCCUGGUGAAUUUGUUUCCAUUGUCUGAUUUUCUCUCCUAGUUCUUGCUCAUAGUUUCUUGUUUUCUUGCUUUUGUGCUUUUUUUAUUCCUUGAUUAUAUGCUAUACUCUAUUUUAAAUAUUAUUUGUAGAAAUUUGAGGUCGAGGAUAAUGAUAUCUUCCUCCAAAGGAAGUGUGUGUGUGUGUGUGUGUGUGUGUGUGUGUGAGUGUGUGUGUGUUUCUAUGGGUUUCUGAGGUCAGUAGAAAUCCGGGAUUAUCUUAAUCCAAAUUUAGAGUUUAGUAUUUUUGAGGAUUCCAAAAUUAACUAAAGUUGGGUUGUAGCUCAUUACAGCUUCCGUUUGGUUCAAUUCACUUUUAUUCAUGAUUUUCUGGCCAUUAUAGGUCAAGAUCAAAACUACCCACUCUUGGUAGACUGAGGACUAUGAAUUUUAUCUUCCUAGCACAAUGAAGUCACCAAAAGUACAGAUCUUCCUCUCACGCAUUACUUUAGACUCAGCAAAUAUUCCUUUCCCCCAGAGAAAAAUAGGUUCCAUGUUCUGGACUCAACACUAGAUUCCUUUUCUGUUAUAGACCUCUGUCUAAUAGUUCCUCACUAUUUUGCCUAUUUUUUAGCUUUUUUUGUAAUUGCAAGAAUAUUUUGAAUUUUUUUGUAGCCUUUUGAUUUGUUUUCCAGUUCCAACCCAGGGAAUGUUGAUCUAAGUUAUCUUUUUAUACCUUUAUAUUCACUAUUUUAUCAUUACAAUAAUGCCAUGAGGUAGAUAAUAUUGUUAUCCUCACAGUACAUCUUAGAAACUGAGAUAUAGAGUUAAUAAUUUGCCUUAGAUAACACAGCUAAUAAGAAUUAGAAAUGAAAUUUGAACCCAAGCAUUCUGGCUCAACAGUCUGAAUUCCUCAACAUUUGCUUUUUCUGAAUUAUUAGGCAAUUAAUCCCUCUGGCAAAACAGAAAUUGUUCUAUGUCUACUUGGGUUAGAGUUCUGGCAGAACAUAAACAUUAGAGGUUGUAGGUUAAAACAAAACAAGCCCCUGGGAUCCCACCAAGCAUGCUUUUGGUGGGCUAGGAAGAUAAAUUUUGUGACCAGGAUCUACUUUUCUAACAAAGGAGACUUUCAUUCUAUCAAUAAAUUUCCAUAUGCAUGAUAUGCUUGGAAGAUUCAAGCCAGCCUAGGGGCCCUCUUGGAAUAUAAAGAUACUAAUAGUAUGUCUUUUGACUGAAAGGCCCCAGUUUGGAUUGAACUGAUAUCUGUAUAGAUGGAGGGAUGAAGGAUACUAAUUGGGGAAGAAAGUGCUAGCCCCCUCAAGGAAAGACUGACAGUCUGAAUCACAGAAUUGAAAGGGCAUGACAAUUCCAUUUGGAUUUGACAUAAGUUCACAAAGGAAAUAGUUGUGUAGAUCAUGAAGAUUCCUGCAAGGUGAAGUAAGGUUUAUGGGAAGCAAGGACAAAAUUCAGAAAAUGGUGUUAAGAAAAUGGUGAGGGAGAGGGCUGAGGCCCAGCCAAGUUCUCUAAGAUUGUUCUCAAUGGGGAACUAAAGUGGAUAAAUGGAAAGUAGUGACCUACACAAAGUGCCAGUCAGCCAAACAAAACAUGCCAAAUGUCAAGUGAGUAGGAAAAUUUCAGCUCUUAAAAUUACGUAGGCUUUAAUAAUUCCAAAUUUAAUUUGAUUCUCAGAAUAUGGGAGGAGACUACAUGCACAGUUCUAAAGCCAUCACUGUUUUUGUUUUUAUGAUGUUUCCAGUUAUUUCUAGGCUCUCUAGUCUCUCUCGUAACUAAGAUAGACAUAUUCAAUUCUGUAUUUAUAUUCCUUUGCCAGUUUAUACUUCAUAGGUACAAUCCAUUACUGUUAUAACUGGUCUAUAAAUGUCUUGUUUUCUUCUAACUCUUAGAACAGUGAUAAAAAUUCAUUGGCAUGCAUGUAGUCCGUGUUACAGCCUAGAUGGAACAAGCACAUAUGCUCAUGUGUCAUUUCUGACUCAGUGGUAUCUCUACAAACUCUCAAACUUCUUGUAGAAAUUUUUUAUGUUGGCCUACCAGGGAGAUCUGUUACAGUAAUGAAGGAACUACUUAACUGCUCCCCUUGAGCCCUGAAGAAGUUAAUAAACAAAAACAUCACUGAAGUCUUAGUAAUUUUGUGUGUUAUACUCCCUGAUGCAUUUAUAACUGACCAGAAAAGCUGGCAGAUUUGUAAAGAGAUUCCUCCUCUGCUCAUGAGAUAUAGGAAUGCCUACAACCAGGUCUAUGGUAUUAUGUAGAUCAAUAACUGUCUUAUGAGGAGUAGCUAGCCAGGGGCUUUUUCUUCUACUUCUGUUAUGACUAGUAGAGAUAUGUCAUUUUGUGUCAUUGUUCCCUGGUGGUCACGUGAUAGAUAGUGUGGGAGAGUUGGCAUUUUAGUCAAAUAUCUGACCUCCCCUCUUUCUAUUGUAAACACUUUGGUUUUAGCUGGGCAAAAUACCCGCCAUGAGCUGCUUAAGUCAGGGAUUUAAUGUAAGAUAAUUCAACUUCUACCUUAUUUAAAAAACUGUCAUUGUGGUUUCUGAAAAACUGAAUUUAUAGCUUUACUAAUACAGAAUCAAACUAUUUUUUAACAGGGUGACAAAUUGCAACAUUGUAAAGGAAGGCUUAAUAGAAAAAAAAAAUAGUACAUAGUAAUAGAACUGCUUGCUGAGUUCCAAGACUUUUAGAACAAGGUGAGGGGGGAGGACUUUUCCUUCCAAUUCCUUCUUCAUAACAUUGGAUGGAGUCCUUUUGGUGGGUAUUUUGACAGCUUCCUUUUUGUUUUGUUUUCUUUUGUUUUGUUUUUGGAGACAGUCUCCCUCUAUUGCCCAGGCUGGAGUGCAGUGGCACAAUCUGGGCUCACUGCAACCUCCGACUCCUGGACUCAAGUGAUUCUCAUGCCCCAACCUCCCAAGUAGCUGAGAUUACAGGCGUGCGCCACCACGCUGGCUAAUUUUUAUUUCAUGAUAUUUUGUGGAGAUAGGGUUUUGCCAUGUUGGCCAGGCUGGUCUCUGAAUUUCUGGCCUUAAGUGAUCCGCCCGCCUCUGCCUCCUAAAGUGAGGGGAUUACAGGCAUGAGCCAUUGUGCCCAGUGGACAGCAUCUUUUGUUACUGCUCUUUUCCUAGAAAAUCUCCAGUGUGGGGUUGCUAGGUAAAUACAAAACAUGCAUUUAAAUUUGAACUUUGGAUAAUGAAUAAUGUUUACUUCAUGCAUAUUUAAAAGAUAUUUGUGAAAAAAUUUAUUGUUCAUCUGAAGUUCAAAUUCAACUGGGCAUCUUUUUUAAGUUUUUGUAUUAUUUAUUUAUUUUUUUAAAUGAUGUGCUAAGUUUGGCAACACACCUCCAGAGUUUUCUGUUUUUCUGACUACUUUCUUCAAACUUCACUUUAUAAAAUGUCAAAAAGCAGCACACCACAGGUCUUAAUUGAUCUCUCCAUUGCUGUUCCUACUUUAACAUCAUUCCAUUCACCUCACACACCAAUUUUAUCUCACUCAAUGAGAAAUCAACCCACUUUUAAACUAUUUAUUAUAUUUUCAGGAGUGUGUGUAAGGUUAACUUUAAAUGUAAAUAAGUUAGGGGCCUUUCACUAUAUUUUUACAUUUGUUGCGCACUUUAGUUCUAUUAUUAUUAUAUUGUAAUAUAUAAUGAAAUAAUUAUACAAUUCACCAUAAUUUAGAAUCAGUGGGAUGCCUGAGCUUCUUUUCCUGCAACUGGACAGUCCCAUCUUGGGGUAAUGGGAGACAGUGACAGAUCAUCAGGCAUCCAAUUCUCAUAAGCAGCAUGAAACCUUGCAUACACAGUUCACAAUAGGGUUCAAUCUCCUGUAAGAAUCUAAUGCAGCCAGUGAUCUGACAGGAGGCGGAACUCAGGAGGUAGUGUGAAGGAUGGGGAGCAGCUGUAAAUACAGAUGAAGCAGGCUGGUCCCCAUGGUUCACACCUGUAAUCCCAGCAUUUGGGAGGCUGAGGUGAGCAGAUCACUUGAGGUCUGGAGUUUGAGACCAACAUGGCAAAACUCUGUCUCUACUCAAAAUACAAAAAUUAACCGAGCAUGGUGGUGCACCCUAGUAAUCCUAGCUACUAGGGAGGCUGAGACAGGAAAAUUGCUUGAACUUUAAAGGCGGAGGUUGCAGUGAGCCCAGAUCGUGACACUGCACUCCAGCCUGGGUGACAGAGCAAGACUCUGUCUCCAUGGCCCAGGGACUGGGGGCCCUUGCUGUAUAGGAUGUGUGAAAACUCUGUGCACACAAUCCAGGUGUGUAGCAGUGGUGUAUGAUCAGGAACAAGGUACUGAAAUUAGUCCCUUGUCUAAUCCAAGCUGUAGCUAUGGCUUAAGGAAGUGUGAGGGUAAGUUAGCAUCUGGUGGUCAGUGAGCUGCAAUUGUCUCGAUUUUGCUUAUUUUGGGGCCAGUGUUUGUUCAGUUGCUAGAGAAAAAGAAAGAAAAAAAAACCUUGUUGCAGUUAGAAUAUAGUCUAACCUUUAGGUGUUGGGGAUGGUACAUGACUUAUCCCUUUCCUGGCAUGCCUUUAGGUCUUGUUUAUAAUUUGGUAUCUUGUUGCUACAAAAAGUCCUUUUCCAUCACUCUUAUGAUCUCUACUUUAAUACUAUCAUCAAAACUGAUUACACAAGUUCAUCUGUUAAUGUUCAUUUUUAUUGAGAUUUUAUAUAUUUACACUUCAAAAAUUUCUUUUCACACAUAUGGAAACAUAUAUGAAUUUUAAAAUAUGCAUCUUCAUGAAAGUCCAAAUAACACUAUUUGGACUAUAGUUUGAGUUCAGAAAUUAUAUCUGCUGAAAAUUUGGGUGGGAGUAAAUAUCUUCCUUCUUAGUUUAACUUUAUUUUCAAGUGUUUGUCUUUAUUUUGUUUAUAAUUGGCAUGUAAUCGUUGUCUAUGCUUAUGCAAUACAGUGUGAUGUUUCAACAUGUGUGCAUUGUAUAAUGAUAAACUCAGUGUUGUUAGCAUGCCCAUCCCACCAAACCUUUGUCAUUUUUUGUGAAGAUAACUUUCAAGAUUGUUAUUUACAGCUGCCUGAAAAUAUACAAACAUAUUUAUUAGUUAUUGCCAUCCCACUAUGUAAGAGAGCACCAAAACUUAUUCUUUCUUUCUGACUGGAACUUUGUACCAAUUGAGCAAAUGUUUCCAUCUUCCAUUCUCCACUCCCAUCCCCAGCCUCUGGUAAACAGUAUGCUACUCUUUACUUCUGUGAGAUCAACUUUUCUAAAUUACACCUAUAAGUGAAAUCACUGUAGUUUUCUUUCUGUGCCUCGCUUAUUUUCCUUAAUAUUGUGUCCUUUAGGUUGAUCCCUUCUGCCAUUAAUGACAGGAUUUUUCCAUUUUUAUAGCAGAAUAGCAUACCACUGUGUAUGUAUACCACAUUUUCUUUGUUAAUUCAUCUGCUAAAGGACACUUAGGUUGAUUCCUUUUAUUGGCAAUUGUGAAUGAUGCUUUAUAAACACAGGAGUGCAGAUAUGUUUUCAACAUACUGAUUUAAAUAUCUUUCCAUAUAAACCCAGUGGUGAAAUUACUAGGUUAUGUGGUGGUUUAAUUUAAUAUUUUGAGGAAUCUCCGCAGUGUUUUCCAUAAUGGCCAGGCUAGUCUACAAUCCUAGCAGUAGUGUACAAUAGUUUCCUUUCUUCGUGUCCUUGACAGCAUUUGAUAUUUUACUUUCUUCUUGAUAGUAGCCAUUCUAACAAAAGUGAGGAGAUAUCUCAUUGUGGUUUUGAUUUGCAUUUCCCCAGUGAUUAGUGAUAUUGUGAAUUUGUGAAUUUCUUAUAUGCCUGCUGGCCCUUUGUAUGUCUUCUUUUAAGAUAUGUCUUUUCAGACCUUUUGUCCAUUUAUUAAUCAGAUUAUUUGGGGGGGGUGUUUUUCUAUUGCAUGAUUUGAGUUCGUUAUAUAUCAUGAAUAUUAGCCUAUUAUCAGAUGGAUGGUUUGCAAAUAUUUUCUUCCAUUCUGUAAGUUGCCUCUUUGCUCUGUUCAUUGUAUCUUUUCUUGUACAGAAGCUUUUUAGUUCAGUGUAAUCCCAUCUGUCUAUUUUUGUUUUAUUGACUGUGCUUUUCAUGUACCACCAAAAAAAAUUAUUGAUCAGACUAAUGUUAUGAACUGUUUUCCUUGUGGUUUUUUCUGAUAGUUUUAUAGUUUUGAGUAUUAUACUUAAGUCUAUAAUCUAUUUUGAAAUGAUGUUUGUAUGCAGUUAAAGAUAAGGGUCUAGUUUCAUUCUUCUUCAUAUGGAUAUCCAGUUUUUCCAGCACCAUAUAUUGAAGAGACUAUCUUUUCUUCCAUGUGUGUUUUUGGCAGCUUUGUCAAAAAAUAUGUGACCAUAAGUGUGUAGAAUUAAUUUUGGGUUCUCAAUUUUGUCGCAUUGAUCUUUGUUUUUAUUUUUAUACAAGUACCAUGCCGUUUUGGUUAUUAUUGCUUUAUACAGUAUUUGGAAGUCAGGUAAGGUGAUGCCUCCAGCUUUGCUCCUUUUUUAUUUGUUUUAUUUUUUAUUCUGAUAUGUAUUUAAAUACAAGGUAAAAUAUUACAAUCAUACUAACAGAAAUAUGAGAAUUUUUAGUGAAACAAGAUGAGUGAUUCUAGAGCAUUUAUUUUCAGUAAAUUUUAACUCAAUUUUAUACUAUAUAUACUAUGCUAUUUGUACUAGAAGUAUUUGUAAUUUUAGUUAAUAUUGAUAAUUUAUUUUGGUGAAGAGAAAUUUCAUGAACCUAUCUAUUCUGACACCUCUCUAUCAUGACAAAGAGAUAUAUAAAUAAUUUAAAAAAUUAACUCCUUUUCAAUUGCAACAAAAACAAAAAUUGACAAAUGAAGUCUAAUCAAUCUAAAGAGCUUCUGCAUAGCAAAAAAACCUAUCAACCAAGUAAACAGACAACCUAAAGAAUGAAAUAAAUUUUUUGGAAACUAUGCAUCUGAAAAAGAUCUAAUAUCCAGCAUCUAUAAGAAACUUAAAAAAAAUCUACUAGAUUAAAACAAACAAUCCCAUUAAAAAGUGGGCAAAUGACAUGAACAGACACUUUUCAAAAGAAGGCAUACCUGUGGCCAAUGAGCAUAUUAAAAAAGCUUAAUAUCACUGAUCAUAAGAGAAAUGCAAAUUAAAACCACAGUGAGAUACCAUCUCACACCAGUUAGAAUUGUUAUUAUUAACAACAAAACAUAGCAGGUAUUGGCAAGGUUUUGGAGAAAAAGGAACACUUAUACACUGUUUGUGGGUGUGUUAACUAGUUCAACCAUUGUGAAAGGCAGUGUGGUGAUUGCUCAAAGACCUAAAAACAGAAAUACCAUUCAACCCAGCAAUCCCAUGACUGGGUAUAUAUUCAAAGUAAUAUAAAUUUUUCUGCCAUAAAACAUAUGAAUGCUUAUGUUCACUGCAGCACUAUUCACAAUAGCAAACUCAUGAAAUCAACCUAAAUGUCCAUCAAUGGUAGAAAGGAUGAAGAAAAUAUGUUAAAUAUACACCAUGGAAUACUAUGCAGCCAGAAAAAAGAAUGAGAUCAUGUCCUUUGUAUGAACAGCAAUGGAGCUGGAAGCCAUUAUCCUUAGCAAACUAACACAGGAAUAGUAAACCAAUACUGCAUGUUCUCACUUAUAAUUGGGGGCUAAAUGAUGAGAACACAUGGACACAUAGAGGGGAACAACAGACAGUGGAAGGGAGGAGGGGGAGAGGAUCAGGAAAAAUAACUAAUGGACACUAGACUUAACAUGUGGGUGAUGGAACAAUUUGUAAAACAAACCCCCAUGACAUGAGAUUACCUGUAUAACAAACCUGCACAGGUACCCCUGAACGUAAAAUGAAAGUUAAAAAAACUUCCUUUUAAAAAUUUUAUUUUAGUUUCAGUGAGUACAGGUGAAAGUUUGUUACCUGGGCAAAUUGCACGUCAGGCUUUGAUGUACAAAUUGUUCACCCAACUAUUGAGUAUAGUACCUGAUAUGCAUUUUUUUAAUCCUCAUCCUCCUUCCACCCCUCACCCUCACGUAAACUAUGGUGUCUAUUGUUUCCUUUUUUGUGUACACGUGUAUUCAAUAUUUAGUUCCCAUUUAUAUGCAGUGUUAGGUUUUCUGUUUCUGUGUUAAUUUGUUUAAGAUAAUAACCUCCAGUUGUAUCCAUUUCACUGAAAAUAAGGUUAUUUCAUUUUCUAAAAAAAUUACUUCCAACCAUGGUGAUGGGAUUAUUUUGUUUUUCUUUAUGCCUGCAUAGUAUUCCAUGGUGUAUAAGUACAACAUUUUCUUUAUCUAGUACACCAUUGAUAGGCAUUUAGGUUGAUUCCAUGUCUUUGCUAUUGCAAAUAGUGCUCUAUUUUUUGGAAUAGUUUCAGUGGCAAUGGUACCAGGUCUUCUUUAUAUUUUGGUAGAAUUCGGAUGUGAAUCCAUCUGCAGGAAAGUCUGGUCCAGGGCUCUUUCUGGUUGGUAGGUUUUUCAUUAUUGAUUUAUUACUGAUGUUCAUUAUUGAUCAUAUUUCUCAUUUGUUUAUGAAGAUUAGUUUGGCCGGAUAUAAAAUUCUUGGUUGAAAUUAUCUUUAAGAAUGAUGAAUAUGGGCUCCAAUCUCUUCUGACUUGUACAGAUUCUCCUGAAGAAUUUGCAAGUUUCUUGAUGGGGUUUUCUUUUGUGAGCAACCUGUCCCUUCUCUGCAGCUCUUUUAUAUAUAUAUAUAUUUCAUUGACCUUGGGGAAUCUGAUUUCUAUGUGUCUUGGAAAUGGUCAUCUUGCAGGGGUUCUUUGUAUUUUCUCAAUUUGAAUGUGAACUUUUCUAGUAUGCUUCAGAAAAUUUUCAUAGACAAUAUGCUUAAAUAUGUUUUCCAAGUUGCUUUUUGUCUCUGUGUCUCUUUCAGGAAUGCCAAUUCUUUGUAGGUCUGGUCUCUACAUAAUUCUAUAUUUCUUGGAGGUAUUGUUUAUUUUAAAAAGAAUUAAAAUUUCUUUCUGAUAGAGUUGAUUUGAAGAACUGGCCUUAAAAUCUUAUUCUAUUUUGCUCAUCUUAGUCUGUCUUCCUGUUAAUAAUUUCUGAUUGUAUUACAGAAUUCUUGUAGUGAGUAUUUCAGCUCUUAUGAUCAGUUUUGUUCUUUCUUAAAAUGGCUAUUUUGUCUUUCAGUUGUUGAAUCAUUUUUGGAUUCCUUAUAUUCCUUGGAUUUUGUUUUGACUUUCUCCUGAAUUUCUGUGAUCUUUGUUUCCAUCCAGAUUCUAAAUUCUGUUUGUCGUUUCAGCCAUUUUGGUCUGGUUAAAAACCAUUGCUAGGGAGCUAGUGCAGUUGUUUGGGGAUAAGAAGACAUUCUGGCUUUUAGAGUUUCAGAGUUCUUGCACUGGUUGUUUUGUAUGUGUGUGGGCUGAUGUUCAUUUAAUCUUUGAAGUCGCUCUUCUUUGUAUGGUGCUUUUUGCUUGUAUUUUCUUUGGUGUCCUUGAAGGUUUGACUGGUAUAAGUUGGGUUUAGUUGAUGGCCUUCAUUUCUAGAUGAUUCAGGGGGCCAACAUUCAGCUCUGCACUACUGGGCUGUGUAAUUUAACCAUGGGUAGAUGGUACCAGGCCUGUGAUUUUGUUCUCUGUCUCCUCCAGGUUAAGCACCUGCUGUGCUGGAUGGGCCAAGGUGCUCCCUGUCUGGUGGCAACAAUACUCCAAUGGGAGUGCUGGCGAAAGUGAUUCAUUUGAGUAGUGGCAGUGGGUUCCAUGCAUGCAUGCAUGCUUGUGUCAGCAGGAUCGGUGUGCAAGUGUGUAUCCAAGCAGUGGCAUGGCAUUGACAUGGUCGGGUCUGCAAGUGCACACAGUCUCCACUGGCAGAGUGCAGUGGGGUCUGCACAUGUGUGCACACCACCAGCAGCAGCAUGGCAGUGUUCACAUGUGCAUGUGCCAGCACAUCUGUAGGGGAGACUGUGGGUGAGUGCACAUCAGCAGAAGCUGCGGGUGGUGCUUAUCAGCAGAAGCUCUCUGAUGGUUAAGCAAGAUCUGUCAGUGUAGGAGCUAUGAAGUUGGCUGCUGGGAAAUGCCUCAGUUGGGCAUCUGAGUCUGUGCUACAAGCAACUAUAGCCAGGCAGGGACCCUGGGAAAGGCUGGUAGAUAGGGGGAUGCUCAGAUCACACUGGCCGCAUCCUACAGGCAACAUAACCCUAUUCUGUACAGGACUGAUAGUCAACAAAAUCCAAAUCCACCUACAUGAACAUGUUAUGCCUCAGGGAAUGGGCAUCCAUGAUGGUGCUCCACUGCAGCCAUUCUGGCACCAAAACCUCUGAGUCCCAUGCAGGCUGGAGCCCUGUCCCUGCCAACUCCCCAAGAAGCUCUUUCUGCUAGCUCAAAUGCCUGUUAGGGACAUGGGGUUUUCUGCAGCUAUGAUUCUGGAGGUUUGUGGACUCCUUCUUUACACCAAAUGCAAAAAUUAAAUCAAGAUGGAUUAAAGAUGUAAAUGUAAAACCAAAAACUAUAAAAAUCCUGGAAGACAACCUAUACAAUACUGUUCUCCACAUAGGAAUCAGCAAAGAUUUUAUGAUGAUGCCAAAAGCAAUUGCAACAAAAGCAAAAAUCAGCAGAGUAAACAAACAGCCUAUGGAAAGGAAAAUAAAUUUUGCAAUCUAUGCAUCUGACAAAGUCUAAUAUGAAGCAUCUAUAAGGAGCUUAAACAAAACUACAAGAAAAAAAAACAGACCUAUUAAAAAGUGGGCAAAAGACAUAAACAGGCACUUUUCUUCUUUUCUUUAAAUAGCUACCUUUAUUUGUAAAGUUCAUUUUUAAAAAUUUUGUAUUUCAAUAGUUUUGGCGGUACAGGUGGUUUCUGGUUACAUGUAUGUGUUCUUUAGCAGUGAUUUAGAGAUUCUGGUGCACCAUCACUAAAGCAGUAUACACUGUACUCAAUAGGUAGUCUUUUAUUCAUCACCCCAAUCCUACCUUUCCCCUUGUGUCCACAAAGCCAAUUAUAUCAUUCUUAUGCCUUUGCAUCCUCAUAGCUUAGCUCCCACUUAUAAGUAAGAACAUACAUCAUUUGGCUUUCUAUUUCUGAGUUACUUCACUUAGAAUAAUGGCCUCCGGAACUCACCACAGCACAGAAAAGCAGCUAUGGCCAGACUGCCUUACUAGAUUCCUCCCCACUGGGCAGGGCAUCUCUGAAAGAAAGGCAACAGCCCCAGUCAGAGGCUUAUAGAUAAAAUUCCCAUCUCCCUGGGACAGAACACCUGGGGGAAGGGGAGGCUGUGGGCGCAGCUUCAGCAGACUUAAAUGUUCCUGCCAGACGGCUCUGCAGAGAGCAGCGUAUCCUGACAAGGAGGAUUCUCCCAGCACAGAACGGGAGCUCCACUAAGGGACAGACUGCUUCCUUAAGUGGGUCCCUGACCCCCGUGCCUCCCGACUGGGAGACAGCUCCCAGCAGGGGUCAGCAGACACCUUAUACAAGAGAGCUCCAGCUGGCAUCUGGCAGGUGCCUCUCUGAGACAAAGCUUCCAGAUGAAGGAGCAGGCAGCAGUCUUUGCUGUUCUGCAGCCUCUGCUGGUGAUACCCAGGCAAACAGGGUCUGGAGUGGACCUCCGGCAAACUACAGCAGACAUGCAGAAAAGGGGCCUGAUUGUUAGAAGAAAAACUAAAAAACAAAAAGUAAUAACAUCAACAUCAAAGAAAAAGAAGGAACCCCAUUUAAAAAAACCCAUCCAGGCAUGGCUGGCAAUAUGGCUAAACAAGAACAGUUCUGAUCUGCAGCUCCCAGCAAGGUCAACACAAAAGGAGGGUGAUUUCUGCAUUUCCAACUGAGUUACCUGGCUCAUCUCAUUGGGACUGGUUAGACAGUGGAUGCAGCCCAUGGAGGGUGAGCAGAAACAGGGUGGGGCAUCACCUCACCCAGGAAGUGCAAGGGGUUGAGGAACUCCCUCCCCUAGCCAAGGGAAGCUGUAAGGGACUGUGCCAUGAAGAAUGGUGCAUUCCAACCCACAUACUAUGCUUUUCCCAUGGUCUUUGCAACCCACAGACCAGGAGAUUCCCUCGGUGCCUACACUACCAAGGCCCUGCAUUUCAAGCACAAAACUGGGCAUCUGUGUGGGCAGAAACUGAUCUAGCAGCAGGAGUUUCUUUUCGUAACCUAGUGACGCCUGGAAUGCCAGUGAGAUGGAACCAUUCACUUCCCUGGAAAGGGGGCUGAAGCCAGAGAGACAAGUGGCCUAGCUCAGUGGAUCCCACCCCCGGAAAGCCCAGCAAGCUAAGAUCCGUGAAAUUCUUGCUGCCAGCACAGCAGUAUGAAGUCAAUCUGGGAUGCUCCAGGUUGGUGGGGGGAGGGGUGUCCACUAUUACUAAGGCUUGAGUAGGCGGUUUUCCAAUCACAGCAUAAACAAAGCUGCCAGGAAGUUCAAACUGGGUGAAGCCCACCACAGCUUGGCAAAGCCACUGUAGCCAGACUGCCUCUAGAUUCCUCCAUUCUGGGCAGGGCAUCUUUGAAAGAAACACAGCAGCCCCAGUCAGGGGCUUAUAGAUAAAACUUUCAUUUCCCUGGGACAGAGAACCUGGGAAAGGGGUGGCUGUGGGCGCAACUUCAGCAGACAAAUGUUCCUGCCUGCCAGCUCUGAAGAGAGCAGCACAUCUCCCAGCACAGCACUCGAGCUCUGCUAGGGACAGACUGCCUCCUCAACUGGGUCCAUAACCCCCAUGCCUCCUGACUGUGAGGCACCUCUCAGAAGGAGUCAACAGACACCUCAUAUAGGAGAGCUCUGGCUGACAUCUGGAGGGUGCCCCUCUGGGAUGAAGCUUCCAGAGGAAGGAAAAGGCAGCAAUCUUUGCCAUUCUGCAGCCUCUGCUGGUGAUACUCAGGCAAACAUGGUCUGGAGUGGACCUACAGCAGUCUCCAGCAGACCUGCAGCAGAGGGGCCUGACUGUUAGAAGGAAAACUAACAAACAGAAAGGAAUAAUAUCAACAUCAACAAAAACAACCACACCAAAACCCCAUCCAAAGGUCACCAACAUCAAAGACCAAAGGUAGACAAAUCUAUAAAGAUAGAGAGAAACAAGCGAAAAAAGGCUGAAAAUUGCAAAAACUAGAAGGCCUCUUCUCCUCCAAAGGAUCACAAUUCCUUUUCAGCAAGGGAACAAAACUGAACAGAGAAUGAAUUUGACAAAUUGACAGAAGUAGGCUUCAGAAGGUGGAUAAUAACAAACUCCUCUGGGCUAAAGGAGCAUGUUCUAACCCAAUGCAAAAAAGCUAAGAAGCUUGAAAAAAAGGUUCGUUGAAUUGCUAACUAGGAUAACCAGUUUAGAGAACAUAAAUGACCUGAUGGAGCUGAAAAACAUAGCAUGAGAACUUCGUGAAGCAUACGCAAGUAUCAAUAGCUGAAUCAAUCAAGCAGAAGAAAGGACAUCGAGGUUGAAGAUCAUCAUAAUGAAAUAAAGCGUGAAGACAAGAUUAGAGAAAAAAGAAUAAAAAGAAACGAACAAAGUUUCCAAAGUAUAUGGGACCAUGUGAAAAGACCAAACCUAUGUUUGAUUGGUGUACCUGAAAGUGAUGGGGAGAAUGGAACCAAGUUGGAAAACACUCUUCAGGAUAUUAUCCAGGAGAACUUCCCCAACCUAGAAAGACAGGCCAACAUUCAAAUUCAGGAAAUGCAGAGAACACCACAAACAUACUCCUCGAGAAGAGGAACCCCAAGGCACAUAAUCGUCAGAUUCACCAAGGGUGAAAUGAAGGAAAAAAUUAUCAGGUCAGCCAGAGAGAAAGGUCGGGUUACCCACAAGGGAAUCCCAUCAGACUAACAGCAGAUCUCUGUUAGUCAGAAGAGUGGGGCCAAUAUUCAACAUUCUUAAAUAAGAGAAUUUUCAACCCAGAAUUUCAUAUCCAGCCAAACUAAUCUUCAUAAGUGAAGGAGAAAUAAAAUCCUUUACAGACAAGCAAAUUCUGAGAGAUUUUCUCACCACCAGGCCUGCCUUCCAAGAACUCCUGAAGGAAGCCCUAAACAUGAAAAGGAACAUCUGGAACCAGCCACUGCAAAAACAUACCAAAUUGUAAAGACCAUGGACACUAUGAAGAAAUUGCAUCAAUUAACGGACAAAACAGUGAGCAAGCAUCAUAAUGACAGGUUCAAAUUGACCCAUAACAAUAUUAACCUUAAAUGUAAAUGGGUUAAAUGCCCCAGUUAAAAGACACACACUGGCAAAUUGGAUAAAGAGUCAAAACCCAUUGGUGUGCUGUAUUCAGGAGACCCAUCUCACAUGCAAAGAAACACAUAGGCUCAAAAUAAAAGGAUGGAGGAAUAUUUACCAAGGAAAUGGAAAACAAAAAAAAAGCAAACAUUGCAAUCCUAGUCGCUGAAAAAAACAGACUUUAAACCAACAAAGAUCAAAAGAGACAAAGGAGGGCAUUACAUAAUGGUAAAGGGAUCAAUGCAACAAGAAGAGCUAACUAUCCUAAGUAUACAUGCACCCAAUACAGGAGCAACCAGAUUAUAAACCAAGUUCUUAGAGACCUACAAAGAAACUUAGACACCCACACAAUAAUAGUGGGAGACUUUAACACCCCAUUGUUAAUAUUGGACAGAUCAGUGAGACAAAAUUAACCAGGAUAUUCAAGACUUGAACUCUGCUCUAGACCAAGCAGGCCUAAUAGACAUCUACAGAACUCUCCACCCCAAAUCAACAGAAUAUACAUUCUUCUCAGCACCACAUCACACUUAUUCUAAAAUUGACCAAAUAAUUGAAAGUAAAACACUCCUCAGGAAAUGCAAAACAAUGGAAAUCAUAUCAAACAGUCUCUCAGACAACAGGGUAAUCAAAUUAGAACUCAGGAUUAAGAAACUCACUCGAAACCCCACAACUUGGAAACUGAACAACCUGCUUCUGAAUGACUACUGGGUAAAUAAUGAAAUAAAGACAGAAAUAAAUAAGUUAUUUGAAACCAAUAAGAACAAAAACACAAUGUGGCAGAAUCUGUGGGACACAGCUACAGCCAUGUUUAGAGGGAAAAUUAUAGCACUAAAUGCCCACAAGAGAAAGUGGGAAAGAUCUAAAAUUGAAAACCUAACAUCACAAUUAAACGAUCUAGAGAAGCAAGAACAAACAAAUUCCAAAGCUAUCAGAAGACAAGAAAUAACUAAGAUCAGAGCAAAACUGAAAGAGAUAGAGACAUGAAGAACCCUUUGAAAAAUCAAUGAAUCCAGGAGCUGUUUUUUUUAAAGAUCAACAAAAUAGAUAAUCUGCUAGCCAGACUAACAAACAAGAAGAGAAAGAAGAAUCAAAUAGGUGCAAUAAAAAAUGCUAUAGGGGAUAAACUACUGAUCCCACAGAAAUAAAAACUUCCAUCAGAGAAUACUAUAAACACCUCUAUGCAAAUAUACUAGAAAAUCUAGAAGAAAUGGAUAAAUUCCUGGACACAUAAACCCUACUAAGUCUAAACCAGAAAGAAGUCGAAUCCCUGAAAAGACCAAUAACAAGUUCUGAAAUUGAUGCAGUAAUUAAUAGCCUAACAACCAAAAAGAGUCCAGGAUCAGAUGGAUUCACAGCCGAAUUCUACCACAGGUGAAAAGAGGAGCUGGUAGCAUUCCUUCUGAAACUAUUCCAAACAAUAGAAAAAAAGGGAAUCCUCCUUAACUCAUUUUAAGAGGUCAGCAUCAUCCUGAUACCAAAACCUGGCAGAAACAAAACCAAAAAAGAAAUUUCAGGCCAAUAUCCCUGAGGAAUAUGUGAAAAUUCUCAAUAAAAUACUAGCAAGCCAAAUCCAGCAGCACAUCAAAAAGCUUAUCGACCAUGAUCAAUUCGGCUUCAUCCCUGGGAUGCAAGGCUGGUACAACAUACCUGAAUCAAUUUUAAUGCAAUCCAUCACAUAAACUGAAUCAAUGACAAAAACCAGAUUAUCUCAAUAAUACUGGGUAUAUAUACAGCAUUGCAUAAUAAAAAUCAUGCUUUGUUAUUAUUCAAUAACAAAGUAAGUCUUGUGGCACUGUGCCUUAAAAGUGUGGCAUUAAAAGUCCACUUAAUUCUUCCUUUCUUUUCUUGACAUGGUGAGUAUGCAGUAAAAAUAAUUGUGGGUUGGUGAUAUAUGGGACACUCAAAACACUUUUGAGUUGUGACUGCAUCACUGCAAUUUUUAGUGGGUUGAGCUGCAGUGCAAAGUGACAUUGGGUCAGUUUUGCAGCUACUCAAUACUGUCAGUGUGGCUGAAAACAGCUAUGCAUAAUAUAAAAACAAAUCCAUAUGGCUAGGUAUAAAAACUUUAUGAGGAAUGAAAUUUUUAUUUUAUAUACUUUUCAUAUUUUAUAAAAUAUUAUUUUAUUAAUCAUUAAAAAUGUAAAAGCCAUUCUUAGCUAAUGGGUAAUAUAAGAAUAUAUAGCAGGCCAUGCUUGACAUAUAGUUUGUAAUUUGCUAAUUUCUCUUUUAGAAAACUGUGAUAUACUAGUUUAGGUUAAUAAUUGUUGAGAAGAUUUACAGAGGCUCUGAGGGAAAAGAACAGAUAAUGCAUUGGAAGAAAUAAGGAUAAGUUACAUAUUAGACUCACUUUAAUACAAAUAAGAAAAGUUUUUUUUACCUUCUUUAUUAUGACAGAAAAACAGAAUGAUCAAACAGGCUUCCACUCAAGAGAUACUGUCCUGCAAGUGAGGCAUUUGAAUAGUAUAAAAUUAGAAGGAUGUGAAGGAAGAGGGGUAGUGUAUUAACAUAUCAAUUUUAAAAUACAGCCAUUUAAAGAAGAGUUUCUCUCUCUCUCUCCCUCCAUCCCUCUCUCUCUCUCUCUUAACAGCACCAGAGCAGGCCAUUUAUCUGUGUUCUUGUGGCACUUUAACUAUAUAAGGCCAUUCAGAAAAUGAUUCAUGCUUUUUUUAUCUUGUUUGUCUACCAUUCUGUACAAUGUGGUCUUCAUCUGUAUGAUCAAAGGCAAAUCACCACCAUAUUUGUAUUCCAGGCUGUAAGACAGGGAGAAGUAAAAGACCAGGACAAGUGACUUUAACUAAGUAAUACACAUCGCUUUCAUUCACAUCUCAUCAGCCAGGACAAAAUCAGAUGACCACACCUAGCUGCAUGGGAGGCAAUAAACUUGUCUCUAGUUAAGUGGUCAUAGGCGAGUGCUUCAAACGUGUUUUCCCUAUUACUGAAAGAGAGUGUUGUAGAUGAGAGACCGAAGAUACAGUCUCUUUUUACUUGAUAAAAGUGGUAAAUUUUCUUCAACAGAAUUUCUAUUUUACUUCUUAAUAAAUUUAUUAGAAGUGUUUUACAGAAAUUUUCAGAUCAUUUAUUUAUUUAAUGAGUCAAACACGCAUGAACAGGCACUCUUCCAAAUAAUCCAAAUAAAGUAUCUAGCUAGAUGACAUAUUUACUCACAUGGAGCUAACAUUCUAGAGAAGAACAUAUAGAAUAAACAAAGAUUCAAUUUAAUAAAAAUGUUAAGAACAAUGACAUUUAGAUAAGUUGGGUUAAUAAUCAGAUUACUGAGUAGCAAAAUUGUAAGUGGAAACAUGCAAAACUUUAAAGCUAGUUCUGGCUCUUGCACCAACAGGUAAUUUUCUGCAUUUGUUUUUUAAUAGAUUACAUCGUUAUCUUAAGUCAUCUGAACCUAUAGAGAUACAUACAGGGAACACCUGCUAGGAGUAAGGUUAGGCAAAGAAAUUCAGUUGUGUCUUUCUCAUGUUGAUCCAUCUGAUAAAAGAAUAGCUAGAAUAGAUAGAUAAAGAAUAGCAAUUUUUGCACUAUAAAUCUAAUAAUGUGGGCCAGGCAUGGUGGCUCACGCCUGUAAUCCCAGCUGUUUGGGAGGCGGAGGCGGGUGGAUCACCUGAGGUCGGGAGUUUGAGAACAGCCUGAUCAACAUGGAAAAACCCCAUUUCUACUAAAAAUACAAAAUUAGCCAGGCUUGGUGGUGCAUGCCUGUAAUCCCAGAUACUGGGGAGGCUGAGGUAGGAGAAUCGCUUGAACCCGGGAGGCGGAGUUUAUGGUGAGCCAAGAUCACGCCAUUGCACUCCAGCCUGGGCAACAAGAGCAAAGCUCCGUCUCAAAAAAAAAAAAAAAAAAAAAAAAAAAUCGAAUAGUGUGUCUUUUUUUUUUUUUUUUUUUUUUCUGUUAAGCAUGUGAACGUUGGAAUGCUGGAGAUGACCUUUGUACUAUUUGGUACUUGAGUCUUUUUAAUUAUCUUCUUUGCUUAUUCCAAGAAGAAGUUUAGAUAUUCCCUUAUUUGGGCUUCACAUAAUAUGUCUGCCUAAUUCUGCCAAUAUGUACCAAAGUGUAUUUUGCACUUUUAUGAAAAAUAGAGAAGGUUCAAUGAUGGCCUAAGACAUAGAGUGCUUUUGUGAUGUAGUUUUAAGUUAUAUAUGUCAUUUUACAAAAUACUAUGUGAAUUUCCAAACUUUGGAAGUAAAAUUUGUCUAGAUAUUGAAAUAUGAGUUUGGAGCCAAAGAAUGUUUUUUAAAUAAGAUUGUUAUCAUAGUGCUAUUGUGGCAGGCCAGGUCUCCAUUAGCAACCAGAACAGUCAGUUUCCACUAACCCUUUACUAUAGUUCUGAUGAAUGUAUAAGUUAAACAUUAAAGAAUUGGAGAAACUAGUGCUUUAGUACAAGGGCUGGGAUGUGAAAACAAAACCAUUAAGACCUUGCCUGGGUUUUCUCAGAACUUAAAGCCUGAUAAAAUAAUGAAGGCAUUCUUACACACACCUUGUUCCAGGGCCCAUUAAGAUUAACAAAUUUUUCCAAGGCUCUGAAUUAAACUUCCAGGCCCCAGACCCUAGUUAAAGAUUAGAUUGAGUGAAACACUCCUGUUUAUAGUUGCACACGUGCAUGCAGGCAUAUAGCUUGAAUGUAUUAAUGUAUAAGCAAGUGCUGAAAAAAAUCUUGUAACUUUGGGUUGGUCUGGUGAACUACCCUGACCUUCUCCUUAUGGCCAGUUACAGAAAUAAACUCUCUUCUUUCCCAGUCUGUCUGUAACUCGUUAAUUGGACCAUGAGACCAAGUAGCUGGACUCCAGUUUUUUCUGGGUAUACUAUGUUUGCUUGACUUUUGAUAUGCUGGGUUCUUUGAAUAUGCAAAUGUCUUUAUUUAAAAUCCAUUUUAAUUUCCCUGCUGAAGCCAUUGAAGGAAGGCCACAGAUUGGAUGAAUCAUGAAGACUAAUAUUUUACUUGAUUUAGGAGGAAUGCAGUUCAAAAUGACUAUUGCUUAGAGAUUCUGGUCACAAUAAAUAUAACCUUGACUGCAUUUAAAUGGAAAGUCUUUUAUACUUCUGAAAUGGCUAGUUUAGUGUCCUAAACUAAUGUGUGGACCAUUGUAAUUUACCAUGAAGACUUCAUAAAACAAAGGCCAUAGACAUUGAACAAACUGUGAGCUUUAUUUAGAUGGCAUUUAAAAAUUUAUUUUGACAUAUCCUUGCAAAAGUGAUUGGAACCAUAAUUGGAAGUUGGAUACAGCAAUAAUUGUGAGCAAUUUAUUGUGGCAUCUCCUUACAGAGAUAUAUAUUCUAUACAACUAAACUCCUUCAAAUACUUGAAGAACAUCUGUAAGGGAUCAAAAUAUGCCAGCUCAGUUCCCUUUCUACACAUUAAGUAGAAGCUAUCAAAAAAAUAAAUUAAGAAAACCAUAUCAUUUGUAAUGGCAUCAGUAAGAAUAAAAUAGAUAGGAAUAAAUUUAACCAAGGAGGUGAAACAUUAUGGCAUUCAACACUUUAAAUGUGUGAAUUGUAUGAUAUAUGAAUUGUAUCUCAAUAAAGCUGUUUAAAUAACAAUGUACUAUAUUCUUAAAAUUUGCUAUGACAGUAGAUUGAAAGUGUUCUCACCAAAAAAAAUAGUGCGUUUGUUAGGUAAUGCAUAUGUUAAUAAGCAUGAUCUAGCCAAUCCACAAUGUAAACAUAUUUUAAGACACCAUGUUAUACACCAUUAAUAUAUAUAAUUUUUGUCUACUAAAAUAAUUAUAAAUAAUUAAAAAACAGGAGAUAUUACAAUUGAUACUACAGAAUUACAAAAGUUCACACUAGUUGAGUAUGAACAAUUGUACACCAACAAAAAAGAUAACCUAGAAGAAAUAAAAAAAAAACUAAGAAACAUUCAACCUAAAAAGACUGAAUCAUGAAGAAAUAGAAAAUAUGAACAGACUAACAAUUAUUAAGGAGAUUGAAUCAAUAAUCAAAACUUUCCCAACAAAUAGAAUCCCAGGACCUGAUGGCUUCCCUGGUGAAUUAUACCAAACAUCUAAAGAAGAAUUAAAAUCUAUCUUCUCAAACACUUCCAAAAAAUUCAUUAGGAGAUAACACUUCCAAACUCAUUUUGCAAGGCCAGUAUUAGUCCAAAGCCUGACAAGGAUACUACAAGAAAAGAAAAUAUAGGUGAAUAUCCCUGAUGAACAAAACACAAAAAUUCUCAACAAAACGCUGGCCAACUGAAUUCAAAUGCAUAUUAAAAGGAUCAUACAACAUAAUCAAGUGGAAUUUAUUUCUGGGAUAAAUGGAUGGUUCAUUAUAUGCAAAACAAAUAAAUGUGAUACAUUACUUUAAAAGAAUCAAAAACAAUAACCAUAUGAUUAUCUUAAUAGAUGCAGUGAAAGCGUUUAAUAUAAUUCAACAUCUUUACAUGAUAAAAUCUCUCAAAAAACUAGAGUUAGUAGGAAGGUACCUCAACACAACAAAGGCCAUAUACCCCAAGUCAACAGCUAACCUCAUACUAAGUGGUAAAAUGCUGAAAGUUUCUCCUCUAAGAUCAGGAACAAGACAAGGAUUCUCACUGAUGCCAAUUCAAUUCAACGCAGUACUAAAAGUCUUAAUCAGAGUAGUUAGGCAAGAGAAAGAAACAAAGUCAUCCAAAUUGGAAACGAGUUAAAAUGUCUCUGUUUGCAGGUGACAUGAUCUUAUAUACAGAAAUCCCUAAAGACCCCACCAAAAACUGUUAAAACUAACAAAUUCCAUGAAGCUGCUGAACAAAAAAUCAGUUCUCUUUCUAUACACUAGAUAGAAACUAUUCAAAAAAGAAAUGAAGAAAAUCAUGAGAGUCGCUUCCAAGACGGCCGAAUAGGAACAGCUCUGGUCUACAGUUCCCAGUGAGAUCGACACAGAAGAUGGGUGAUUUCUGCAUUUCCAACUGAGUUACCUGGUUCAUCUCACUAGGAAUGGUUGGAGAGUGGGUGCAGCCCAUGGAAGGUGAGCCAAAGUGGGGGGUGGGGGAGUGUUGCCUCACCCAGGAAGUGCAAGGGGUCAGGGGAUUUCCCUUUCCUAGCCAAGGGAAGCCAUGAGUGACUGUACCUGGAGGAGCGGUACACUCCUUUCCAAAUGCUGUGCUUUUCCCAUGGUCUUCACAACCAACAGACCAGGAGAUUCCUGGAGACCUGCAGACCAGGAGACCUGCCUGGCUUGGUGGUUCCCACACCCACAGAGCCUUGCUCGCUGCUAGUGAAUCAAUCUGAGAUUAACCUGGGAUGCUGAAGUUUGGCAGGGGGAGGGGCG